Molecule: ribosomal RNA, 465 nt
Filed under: uncultured bacterium
Lineage: Bacteria
Description: bacterial SSU rRNA
Rfam family: Bacterial small subunit ribosomal RNA
Source: RNAcentral
GGAGGAAAGUAGGGGAUCGAAAGACCUUAUGCUUUUGGAGCGGCCGAUGUCUGAUUAGCUAGUUGGUAAGGUAAUGGCUUACCAAGGCGAUGAUCAGUAGUUGGUCUGAGAGGACGACCAGCCACACUGGGACUGAGACACGGCCCAGACUCCUACGGGAGGCAGCAGUGGGGAAUUUUGGACAAUGGGCGCAAGCCUGAUCCAGCAAUGCCGCGUGAGUGAAGAAGGCCUUCGGGUUGUAAAGCUCUUUCAGUCGAGAGGAAAAGGUUGUGACUAAUAAUCAUAACUCAUGACGGUAUCGACAGAAGAAGCACCGGCUAACUACGUGCCAGCAGCCGCGGUAAUACGUAGGGUGCAAGCGUUAAUCGGAAUUACUGGGCGUAAAGGGUGCGCAGGCGGUUCUGUAAGUCAGAUGUGAAAUCCCCGGGCUUAACCUGGGAACUGCGUUUGAAACUACAAGGCUAG